UGAACUGUGGACAGUUAUGAAGUCUGC
This 27-nucleotide non-coding RNA is filed under the name Homo sapiens (human). Lineage: Eukaryota; Metazoa; Chordata; Mammalia; Primates; Hominidae. The record is from RNAcentral.